RNAcentral lists this ribosomal RNA (460 nucleotides) under uncultured bacterium. RNAcentral's name for it is "partial 16S ribosomal RNA". It matches the Rfam family "Bacterial small subunit ribosomal RNA", at positions 338 to 795 of the family's 1533-position model. The record is from RNAcentral.
CCUACGGGUGGCAGCAGUGAGGAAUAUUGGUCAAUGGACGAGAGUCUGAACCAGCCAAGUAGCGUGAAGGAUGACUGCCCUAUGGGUUGUAAACUUCUUUUAUAUGGGAAUAAAACGUUCCACGUGUGGGAUUUUGUAUGUACCAUAUGAAUAAGGAUCGGCUAACUCCGUGCCAGCAGCCGCGGUAAUACGGAGGAUCCGAGCGUUAUCCGGAUUUAUUGGGUUUAAAGGGAGCGUAGGUGGAUUGUUAAGUCAGUUGUGAAAGUUUGCGGCUCAACCGUAAAAUUGCAGUUGAAACUGGCAGUCUUGAGUACAGUAGAGGUGGGCGGAAUUCGUGGUGUAGCGGUGAAAUGCUUAGAUAUCACGAAGAACGCCGAUUGCGAAGGCAGUUCACUGGACUGCAACUGACACUGAGGCUCGAAAGUGUGGGUAUCAAACAGGAUUAGAUACCCCAGUAGUC